GACGAACGCUGGCGGCGUGCUUAACACAUGCAAGUCGAACGGAAAGGCCCUGCUUUUGUGGGGUGCUCGAGUGGCGAACGGGUGAGUAACACGUGAGUAACCUGCCCUUGACUUUGGGAUAACUUCAGGAAACUGGGGCUAAUACCGGAUAGGAGCUCCUGCUGCAUGGUGGGGGUUGGAAAGUUUCGGCGGUUGGGGAUGGACUCGCGGCUUAUCAGCUUGUUGGUGGGGUAGUGGCUUACCAAGGCUUUGACGGGUAGCCGGCCUGAGAGGGUGACCGGCCACAUUGGGACUGAGAUACGGCCCAGACUCCUACGGGAGGCAGCAGUGGGGAAUAUUGCACAAUGGGCGGAAGCCUGAUGCAGCAACGCCGCGUGCGGGAUGACGGCCUUCGGGUUGUAAACCGCUUUCGCCUGUGACGAAGCGUGAGUGGCGGUAAUGGGUAAAGAAGCACCGGCUAACUAAGUG
RNAcentral lists this ribosomal RNA (468 nucleotides) under uncultured bacterium. RNAcentral describes it as "partial 16S ribosomal RNA". It matches the Rfam family "Bacterial small subunit ribosomal RNA", at positions 28 to 507 of the family's 1533-position model. The record is from RNAcentral.